AGGACGUGCUAACCACACUGAAGAUCCUCAUCAUCGGCGAGAGUGGAGUGGGCAAGUCCAGCCUGCUCUUGAGGUUCACAGAUGAUACGUUUGAUCCAGAACUUGCAGCAACAAUAGGUGUUGACUUUAAGGUGAAAACAAUUUCAGUGGAUGGAAAUAAGGCUAAACUUGCAAUAUGGGAUACUGCUGGUCAAGAGAGGUUUAGAACAUUAACUCCCAGCUAUUAUAGAGGUGCACAGGGUGUUAUAUUAGUUUAUGAUGUUACAAGAAGAGAUACAUUUGUUAAACUGGAUAAUUGGUUAAAUGAAUUGGAAACAUACUGUACAAGAAAUGACAUAGUAAACAUGCUAGUUGGAAAUAAAAUCGAUAAGAGGCAAGUGCAAAAACCUGUGAUGGUGUACAAUGUGCCUUUGAAGAACUUGUUGAAAAGAUCAUUCAGACCCCUGGACUGUGGGAAAGUGAGAACCAGAAUAAAGGAGUCAAACUGUCACACAGGGAAGAAGGCCAAGGAGGAGGAGCCUGUGGUGGUUAUUGUUCUGUGUUAUAAACUCUGGGAAAUUCCAUCUCUUGCAUAUUUGAUCAGAUAGUGACAUCUUUCUGUAUAUAAACUCUUUAACUGCUAUUUUAGGGACCUUGCAGUUUGCACAUAAUUGUUUUAUAUCAUAGCAGUAAAUAUUUGCAAGAAAUCCCACUCAUCGACCCCGGGUAAAAUGUUAUGGUAAGCAUGCACAGUUUGCAGUCUACAGUUUUUUUAUGUAGCACAAAAUAGGUGUACCUUUAUAAGUACAUUCAAUUUUAUGAUUUACAUUUAUCAUGUAAUUUUUAAAAAAAUCCAUCUAUCUAGGAUAUCUUGAUACAAAGUCUGCUUUUGCUAUUCUUUUUGCUUAAAUACUCCUAUCAUUUUCUGAAUUACUUGGUAUUUAGAACUCCUAGAACCACAGGGAAGAAUAGAGGUAUCAUCAAACGUGGCAAAUUUUCUUUCAGG
RNAcentral lists this small RNA (985 nucleotides) under Pongo abelii (Sumatran orangutan). RNAcentral's name for it is "processed transcript". The record is from RNAcentral. Lineage: Eukaryota; Metazoa; Chordata; Mammalia; Primates; Hominidae.